CCACGGAAGGUUCUGGAAGGGGACAGAAGGACACAGAAGGCUCAGGAAGGGCAUGGAAGGUUCUGGAAGGGGACGAAGGGACAGAAGGACACAGAGAGCUCAGGAAGGGCAUGGAAGGUUCUGGAAGGGGACGAAGGGACAGAAGGACACAGAGGGCUCAGGAAGGGACAGAAGGCUCAGGAAGGGCACGGAAGGUUCUGGAAGGGGACAGAGGGACAGAAGGACACAGAGGGCUCAGGAAGGGCAUGGAAGGUUCUGGAAGGGGACGAAGGGACAGAAGGACACAGAGGGCUCAGGAAGGGACAGAAGGCUCAGGAAGGGCACGGAAGGUUCCGGAAGGGGACAAAGGGACAGAAGGACACAGAGGGCUCAGGAAGGCCGCGGAAGG
Haemorhous mexicanus (house finch) is the source of this 388-nucleotide long non-coding RNA. RefSeq lists it as uncharacterized. The record is from RefSeq and is a predicted model, not a curated record. Lineage: Eukaryota; Metazoa; Chordata; Aves; Passeriformes; Fringillidae. The transcript is spliced from 4 exons.